CAUAAAUGCCUGUAUAACUACUUUUUCUGCCACUCAGUAGUCGUUUCUUUACAAACACAACUCUUGAAAUUGCGCGAUUUGUUAUCUCUUAAACUUUCGGAUUUAAUGAACCCGUGAUUAAGCACUCUUUCUCCCAUUCAGUAGUCGCUUCUUUGCAAACACAACUCUUGGAAUUGCGUUUCUCCUUCUCCGAUUCUGAUUAGUCAUCCUAAGUUUCUGUUAAUCCGGGAUCUGACACGUAGUCUGAAGAUUCAAAGUUCAGUAUUAGCGAUUACCGAGAUAGUCAGAGGCAAUUUUUCCCGAAAAUUCUUCGAAUUUCAUUGGUUUUCUGCAAUUUCUAUUCCCGUUUAGUAUUUUUUGUGAACAAUGGUUCGAAACCCGGAUCUGGGAAAAAGGCCCUUGUCUGCUGAAGAAGAAGAAGCUAAUGUGCCCCAAGAUCUACCUACAGGUGGUCGGCGUAAUCGGUCACUUGGGCGAAUGCCACCUCUUAGCCACGGCGAUGUGCUUCCCAGAAUGGAGGAAAGUGAACCGACAAAUGAAACUCCGAUUCCAGCCGUAUAGAGAAUGGAAUGAACCUUCUACCUCUGGAAAUAGUUCUACGCAUGGGCCUCGGCGUCUGCCAGCAGGUGCCGAAGAAUGGGACAGCCCUACCGAUAAUUGGGGGAUUGCGUCUAUUGCCCCGUACAAUGGUGGAUUGUGGAGAAUCCCCGACACUGUUUCGCCGAGCAAAUCGAAAUUUUCUAUGGUAUUUAUGAAAAGGAUGGGUAUUGGUGUCAAAUGCCAGUUACCGAAGAUAGGAUACACAGACCUCCGCCUGGGUAUAUUGGAGUAUAUACUAGACAACUGCAGUCUGGAUUGAGAUUUCCUCUCCACCCCUUUGUGACCCAAGUGUUGAAUGGAUACAAUAUCUCAUUGUGCCAGCUAACACCGGUCAGUACUCGGAGGGUUAUGACAUUCUUGUGGGUUGCUCUUUUUUAUGGAUUUGACCCUAGCAUUCACGUGUUUCGGCAACUACACAAAUUGGUGGAGAACAAACAAUCAAAUGAACAUCACGGUCCUGGAUGGUGGCGAAUUGAAUCCCGAAAAGGGAUUCUGACCACUUGGCCGAAUGACACCUCCGACAAAGAUUGGAGGGGUCAAUGGAUUUGGGUGAGGGCUCCGUAAGCGGAGAAACAUCCGAAAUUUUUUGGAGGCCCGAGAUAUUUAAAAAAAGCCUGAUAAAAAGAUGUCGGUUAUUGGACCGGAUGAUUUUUCGGCCUACGAUCUGAAAUUGCUGAAGCUCUUCGACAAAUUUCGCACUGGAAAACGAGGCCGAGAAUUUUACAUACCAAAGACUUGGCUACCCUGCUAUCAUUAUAUCUUCCAAGAGAAGAUAUUAGCUGCUGUUGGUCUAAGCCGAAUACCAAGGCGACCUGCAUGAGAAGAACUGCGGCUUAAACUAUAAACUGUUGGGAAUUAUCGCUACCAGAGAAGUGACGAAGAGGAAUCCACCGAUAACUAAACCUUCUGAAAGAGCCCAUUGGUUGCGUGUGUCUCAUCUUGACAUAGUCAAGAAAACUGAAUAUUCCAAGCAGAAGCCUUGGUACUUGAAGCGUGACCCAUUUUUCCCUUUGGAUACUGAAGAACAAGCUGUUGCUACUGCUAGUGCUUUGAGAUCCGGCAUUUCUAUAGUUAACUCCGAAGUUGAGGACAAGAUCAGCUCCGACGAGGAUGACUCAUUAAAAACUUCGGAUGACGAGGCUUCGACUGAUCAAUUUUCUCCUGACGAAGAAUAUGAACAGGUGACCCCGAUAAGAAAGACCACGACCGUUGUCAUUCCAGGCGAAAUUCCCAUAGGGGAGUCCUCUCCAUCGCCGAAGUGACCUCGGCAAGCCGAAGAGCCAGCCGAAGUUAUCGGGGAGGAAACUCCAGUUUCUAAUGAGUCUCGGAGUCAUCAAGAAGAGGUGCAGCAAGAAAUUCCUUAUCUGAUGCCUUGUCUUCCUGAGUACUCUGCUGCAGACUCUAUCAAGCUCUUUCAGUAUAUUAAAAAGGAAUUUGAGCUUGCUUUGAUUGCUCGGCUUUCUGAAAACAAAGCCUUGGACAAAGACGAUGAUGAUGUGAAAGAAGCUGAUGUUCAAGUUCAGAAUAUUGACAAAUCUACUACAUCAUCAGUUGUUAAAACGUUGGGUUUUGAUAGAUUAGAUUUGACCUGAUGUUUAUUUUACAUAUUAACAAAAAGUGCUUGCUUAACUUUAAUUGACAUCUAAUUCUAAUUCUAAUCAUUAUUAAUUUUUUUUUCUUUAAAGGUGCUAAGUUGUUUGUAUGAUGUUAGGAAGACAUAAACAAAGCUAAGACCUUUAUUUUGCUACACUUGAUUUCAUUAGGUACAUUUACACCGAGGUCACUAAACUCACUAUAUAUAGAAAUAAGGUAACUAUAUCAAUUUUUACAAU
This is a long non-coding RNA of Amaranthus tricolor (Joseph's coat), 2432 nucleotides long. RefSeq lists it as uncharacterized. The transcript has 3 exons. Lineage: Eukaryota; Viridiplantae; Streptophyta; Magnoliopsida; Caryophyllales; Amaranthaceae. The record is from RefSeq and is a predicted model, not a curated record.